AGCAGCCGCGGUAAUUCCAGCUCCAAUAGCGUAUAUUAAAGUUGUUGCAGUUAAAAAGCUCGUAGUUGAAUUUCGGGAUCAAUAUGUUGGUCGUGCCUCGGUACGUACUGGCGUCAUUGGUUUCUACCUUCUGAAGAACCUCGAUGUCAUUAAUUUGGUGUCUUGGGGAAUCAGGACUGUUACUUUGAAAAAAUUAGAGUGUUUAAAGCAGGCUCACGCUUGAAUACAUUAGCAUGGAAUAAUGAAAUAGGACGUUUGAUUCUAUUUUGUUGGUUUCUAGGAUCGACGUAAUGAUUAAUAGGGAUAGUUGGGGGCAUUAGUAUUCAAUUGUCAGAGGUGAAAUUCUUGGAUUUAUUGAAGACUAACUACUGCGAAAGCAUUUGCCAAGGAUGUUUUCAUUAAUCAAGAACGAAAGUUAGAGGUUCGAAGGCGAUCAGAUACCGCCCUAGUUCUAACCAUAAACGAUGCCAACCAGCAAUCGGCCAGAGUUGCUAACAAUGACUGGCCGGCGGUCG
This 515-nucleotide ribosomal RNA is filed under the name uncultured Glomus. RNAcentral's name for it is "bacterial SSU rRNA". It matches the Rfam family "Eukaryotic small subunit ribosomal RNA", at positions 569 to 1089 of the family's 1831-position model. The record is from RNAcentral. Lineage: Eukaryota; Fungi; Glomeromycota; Glomeromycetes; Glomerales; Glomeraceae.